This 472-nucleotide ribosomal RNA is filed under the name uncultured Chloroflexota bacterium. RNAcentral's name for it is "bacterial SSU rRNA". It matches the Rfam family "Bacterial small subunit ribosomal RNA", at positions 898 to 1382 of the family's 1533-position model. Lineage: Bacteria; Bacillati; Chloroflexota. The record is from RNAcentral.
AACUUAAAGGAAUUGACGGGGCCCGGCACAAGCAGCGGAGCGUGUGGUUUAAUUCGAUGAUACGCGAAGAACCUCACCCAGGUUUGACAUGCACGUGGUACUGAUUCGAAAGAUGAGGGACCCUUCGGGGAGCGUGCACAGGUGUUGCACGGCCGUCGUCAGCUCGUGCCGUGAGGUGUUGGGUUAAGUCUCGCAACGAGCGCAACCCCCGUCGCCAGUUGUAUUUUUCUGGCGAGACUGCCGGGAAAUCCCCGGAGGAAGGAGGGGAUGAUGUCAGGUCAGCGUGGCCCUUACGACCAGGGCUACACACACGCUACAAUGGGUGGUACAGAGGGUCGCGAAGCCGCGAGGUGGAGCUAAUCCCACAAAGCCAUCCUCAGUUCGGAUUGCAGGCUGAAACUCGCCUGCAUGAAGCCGGAGUUGCUAGUAACCGCAGGUCAGCACUACUGCGGUGAAUACGUUCCCGGGCCUU